This 492-nucleotide ribosomal RNA is filed under the name uncultured bacterium. Its description in RNAcentral is "partial 16S ribosomal RNA". It matches the Rfam family "Bacterial small subunit ribosomal RNA", at positions 29 to 507 of the family's 1533-position model. The record is from RNAcentral.
AGUGAACGCUGGCGGUAGGCCUAACACAUGCAAGUCGAACGGCAGCACAGUAAGAGCUUGCUCUUACGGGUGGCGAGUGGCGGACGGGUGAGGAAUACAUCGGAAUCUACUUUUUCGUGGGGGAUAACGUAGGGAAACUUACGCUAAUACCGCAUACGACCUACGGGUGAAAGCAGGGGAUCUUCGGACCUUGCGCGAUUGAAUGAGCCGAUGUGGGAGUAGCUAGUUGGCGGGGUAAAGGCCCACCAAGGCGACGAUCCGUAGCUGGUCUGAGAGGAUGAUCGGCGGCAUUGGAGCGGAGACAGGGUCCAGAGGCCUACGGGAGGCAGCAGAGGGGAAUAUUGGACAAUGGGCGCGAGCCUGAUCCAGCGAUACCGCGUGGGUGGAGAAGGCCUUCGGGGUGUGAAGCCCUUUUGUUGGGAAAGAACAGCAGCCGGUUAAUACCACGCUGUUCUGACGGUAACCAAAAAAUAAGCACCGGCUAACUUCGUG